This 445-nucleotide ribosomal RNA is filed under the name uncultured bacterium. Its description in RNAcentral is "partial 16S ribosomal RNA". It matches the Rfam family "Bacterial small subunit ribosomal RNA", at positions 354 to 796 of the family's 1533-position model. The record is from RNAcentral.
GUGAGGAAUAUUGCGCAAUGGAGGCAACUCUGACGCAGCCAUGCCGCGUGCAGGAAGAAGGCGCUACGCGUUGUAAACUGCUUUUAACCGGGAAGAAACCCCAGGACGUGUCCUGGGUUGACGGUACCGGAGGAAUAAGCACCGGCUAACUUCGUGCCAGCAGCCGCGGUAAUACGAAGGGUGCAAGCGUUAUCCGGAUUCAUUGGGUUUAAAGGGUGCGUAGGCGGAGCGUUAAGUCAGUGGUGAAAUCCUGCAGCUUAACUGUAGACUGGCCAUUGAUACUGGCGCUCUUGAGUGCGCUUGAAGUGGGCGGAAUGUGCCGUGUAGCGGUGAAAUGCUUAGAUAUGGCACAGAACACCAAUUGCGAAGGCAGCUCACUAAGGCGAUACUGACGCUGAGGCACGAAAGCGUGGGGAUCGAACAGGAUUAGAAACCCUGGUAGUCC